This 730-nucleotide ribosomal RNA is filed under the name uncultured bacterium. RNAcentral describes it as "bacterial SSU rRNA". It matches the Rfam family "Bacterial small subunit ribosomal RNA", at positions 771 to 1501 of the family's 1533-position model. The record is from RNAcentral.
AACAGGAUUAGAUACCCUGGUAGUCCACGCCGUAAACGAUGUCGACUUGGAGGUUGUUCCCUUGAGGAGUGGCUUCCGGAGCUAACGCGUUAAGUCGACCGCCUGGGGAGUACGGCCGCAAGGUUAAAACUCAAAUGAAUUGACGGGGGCCCGCACAAGCGGUGGAGCAUGUGGUUUAAUUCGAUGCAACGCGAAGAACCUUACCUACUCUUGACAUCCACGGAAUUUGGCAGAGAUGCCUUAGUGCCUUCGGGAACCGUGAGACAGGUGCUGCAUGGCUGUCGUCAGCUCGUGUUGUGAAAUGUUCGGUUAAGUCCCGCAACGAGCGCAACCCUUAUCCUUUGUUGCCAGCGAUUCGGUCGGGAACUCAAAGGAGACUGCCGGUGAUAAACCGGAGGAAGGUGGGGAUGGCGCCAAGUCAUCAUGGCCCUUACGAGUAGGGCUACACACGUGCUACAAUGGCGCAUACAAAGAGAAGCGACCUCGCGAGAGCAAGCGGACCUCAUAAAGUGCGUCGUAGUCCGGAUCGGAGUCUGCAACUCGACUCCGUGAAGUCGGAAUCGCUAGUAAUCGUGGAUCAGAAUGCCACGGUGAAUACGUUCCCGGGCCUUGUACACACCGCCCGUCACACCAUGGGAGUGGGUUGCAAAGGAAGUAGGUAGCUUAACCUUCGGGAGGGCGCUUACCACUUUGUGAUUCAUGACUGGGGUGAAGUCGUAACAAGGUAACC